RNAcentral lists this ribosomal RNA (855 nucleotides) under Lenzitopsis oxycedri. RNAcentral describes it as "LSU rRNA". It matches the Rfam family "Eukaryotic large subunit ribosomal RNA", at positions 84 to 915 of the family's 3401-position model. Lineage: Eukaryota; Fungi; Basidiomycota; Agaricomycetes; Thelephorales; Thelephoraceae. The record is from RNAcentral.
UAACUGCGAGUGAAGCGGGAAGAGCUCAAAUUUAAAAUCUGGCGUGCCUUUGGUCGUCCGAGUUGUAGUCUGGAGAAGCGUUUUCCGUGCUGGACCGUGUACAAGUCCCUUGGAACAGGGCGUCAUAGAGGGUGAGAAUCCCGUCUCUGACACGGACUACCAGUGCUUUGUGAUGCGCUCUCGAAGAGUCGAGUUGUUUGGGAAUGCAGCUCAAAACGGGUGGUAAAUUCCAUCUAAAGCUAAAUACAGGCGAGAGACCGAUAGCGAACAAGUACCGUGAGGGAAAGAUGAAAAGCACUUUGGAAAGAGAGUUAAACAGUACGUGAAAUUGCUGAAAGGGAAACGCUUGAAGUCAGUCGCGUCUGCCGGGACUCAGCCUCGCUUCUGCUUGGUGCACUUUCCGGUUGACGGGCCAGCAUCGAUUUUGACUGUCGGAGAAGGGGUGGAGGGAAUGUGGCACCUUCGGGUGUGUUUAUAGCCCUCCUCCGUAUACGACGGCUGGGAUCGAGGACUGCAGCRCGCCUUUAUGGCCGGGGGUUCGCRCCCCACGUUUAACGUGCUUAGGAUGCUGGCUUAAUGGCUUUAAGCGACCCGUCUUGAAACACGGACCAAGGAGUCUAACAUGCCUGCGAGUGUUUGGGUGGAAAACCCGAGCGCGUAAUGAAAGUGAUAGUUGAGACCUCUGUCGUGGAGGGCAUCGACGCCCGGACUUGAUCUACGGAGACGGUUCCGCGGUAGAGCACGUAUGUUGGGACCCGAAAGAUGGUGAACUAUGCCUGAAUAGGGUGAAGCCAGAGGAAACUCUGGUGGAGGCUCGUAGCGAUUCUGACGUGCAAAUCGAUCGUCAAAUUUGGG